GAGUUUGAUCCUGGCUCAGAGUGAACGCUGGCGGCAGGCCUAACACAUGCAAGUCGAACGGCAGCGCAGCAGUAGCAAUACUGUGGGCGGCGAGUGGCGGACGGGUGAGGAAUACAUCGGAAUCUACCUUGUCGUGGGGGAUAACGUAGGGAAACUUACGCUAAUACCGCAUACGACCUACGGGUGAAAGCGGCGGACCGCAAGGCGUCGCGCGAUUGGAUGAGCCGAUGUCCGAUUAGCUAGUUGGCGGGGUAAAGGCCCACCAAGGCGACGAUCGGUAGCUGGUCUGAGAGGAUGAUCAGCCACACUGGAACUGAGGCACGGUCCAGACUCCUACGGGAGGCAGCAGUGGGGAAUAUUGGACAAUGGGCGCAAGCCUGAUCCAGCCAUGCCGCGUGUGUGAAGAAGGCCUUCGG
RNAcentral lists this ribosomal RNA (416 nucleotides) under uncultured Gammaproteobacteria bacterium. RNAcentral describes it as "bacterial SSU rRNA". It matches the Rfam family "Bacterial small subunit ribosomal RNA", at positions 9 to 421 of the family's 1533-position model. Lineage: Bacteria; Pseudomonadati; Pseudomonadota; Gammaproteobacteria. The record is from RNAcentral.